AGAGUUUGAUUCUGGCUCAGGAUGAACGCUAGCUACAGGCUUAACACAUGCAAGUCGAGGGGCAGCAUUUCAUUUUGCUUGCAAAGUGAAGAUGGCGACCGGCGCACGGGUGAGUAACACGUAUCCAACCUGCCGAUAACUCGGGGAUAGCCUUUCGAAAGAAAGAUUAAUAUCCGAUAGCAUAUCAAUCCCGCAUGAGAUUGAUAUUAAAGAAUUUCGGUUAUCGAUGGGGAUGCGUUCCAUUAGUUUGUUGGCGGGGUAACGGCCCACCAAGACUACGAUGGAUAGGGGUUCUGAGAGGAAGGUCCCCCACAUUGGAACUGAGACACGGUCCAA
Molecule: ribosomal RNA, 336 nt
Filed under: uncultured bacterium
Lineage: Bacteria
Description: bacterial SSU rRNA
Rfam family: Bacterial small subunit ribosomal RNA
Source: RNAcentral